UAACNANGUUUCCGUAGGUGAACCUGCGGAAGCAUCAUUA
This 40-nucleotide ribosomal RNA is filed under the name Inocybe cf. asterospora EL14305. RNAcentral describes it as "partial 18S ribosomal RNA". Lineage: Eukaryota; Fungi; Basidiomycota; Agaricomycetes; Agaricales; Inocybaceae. The record is from RNAcentral.